Molecule: ribosomal RNA, 290 nt
Filed under: uncultured prokaryote
Description: partial 16S ribosomal RNA
Rfam family: Bacterial small subunit ribosomal RNA
Source: RNAcentral
UACGUAGGGGCUAGCGUUAUCCGGAUUUACUGGGCGUAAAGGGUGCGUAGGUGGUUUCUUAAGUCAGGAGUGAAAGGCUACGGCUUAACCGUAGUAAGCUCUUGAAACUGGGUGGCUUGAGUAUGGAAGAGGUAAGUGGAAUUCCUAGUGUAGCGGUGAAAUGCGUAGAUAUUAGGAGGAACACCAGUGGCGAAGGCGACUUACUGGUCCAUAACUGACGCUGAGGCGCGAAAGCGUGGGUAGCGAAAGGGAUUAGAUACCCCCCGUAGUCCCUGAGCGGGCUGGCAAGG